This is a long non-coding RNA of Magallana angulata, 403 nucleotides long. RefSeq lists it as uncharacterized. NCBI's taxonomy places the organism in Eukaryota, Metazoa, Mollusca, Bivalvia, Ostreida, Ostreidae. The record is from RefSeq and is a predicted model, not a curated record. The transcript has 3 exons.
GGGAUAUUAAACGCUGUAAUUAACUAAAGUCAAGUAUAUUACACAAUUCAAACGAGUUUUCCUUGUGAGCAUUCGUAGAAAACGGAUUAUGUGCUCUUUCGUAUUGCAAAAAAAAUGAUGCUUCAAAAUUGUGCGGCAGUUUCUAUGUAUGUCUGUAAUGGAAUGUAUGACUGAUUUUAUGUUGCUUUUGGAAAACUGGACAUAUACAACCGAAAGGAUACUUCACAUGCCAUGCUAGACAAUGCUAUGAAUAACAGCUCAUCGGAUUGUGUUACAAAGAAAACAGAAACGUCAAGUGCUUAUUCUGAAGUUAUUAUAAUCGGACUUUCAGUAGUGUCAAUAAUAAUUUGCAUGAUAUAUAUUUACAUCCGUGUGCAAAAAUGUAGCAAAAUGUGAAAUAAAC